This is a non-coding RNA of Hydra vulgaris (swiftwater hydra), 191 nucleotides long. Lineage: Eukaryota; Metazoa; Cnidaria; Hydrozoa; Anthoathecata; Hydridae. The record is from RefSeq and is a predicted model, not a curated record.
GUGGAGGAUAUGGAGGUGGUUAUGGAGGAUACGGUGGCGGAUAUGGUUACGGCAAAAAAGAGAUAAAUGAAAACGAAGAUAAAAGUGAAGGUGGAUAUGGCGGAUAUGGUUACGGAAAAAGAGAAACCGAACAAGAUGGAGGAUACGGGGGCGGAUACGGAGGUGGAUACAGCGGAGGAUAUGGUUACGGA